UACGGAGGGUGCAAGCGUUAUCCGGAUUCACUGGGUUUAAAGGGUGCGUAGGCGGGCAGGUAAGUCAGUGGUGAAAUCUCCGGGCUUAACCCGGAAACUGCCGUUGAUACUAUCUGUCUUGAAUAUCGUGGAGGUAAGCGGAAUAUGUCAUGUAGCGGUGAAAUGCUUAGAUAUGACAUAGAACACCCAUUGCGAAGGCAGAUUACUACACGAUCAUUGACGAUGAGGCAC
RNAcentral lists this ribosomal RNA (231 nucleotides) under uncultured bacterium. RNAcentral describes it as "partial 16S ribosomal RNA". It matches the Rfam family "Bacterial small subunit ribosomal RNA", at positions 524 to 754 of the family's 1533-position model. The record is from RNAcentral.